Molecule: long non-coding RNA, 435 nt
Filed under: Solanum melongena (eggplant)
Lineage: Eukaryota; Viridiplantae; Streptophyta; Magnoliopsida; Solanales; Solanaceae
Description: long non-coding RNA (SMEL_LNC000148)
Source: RNAcentral
AACAACUAUUAUACCAGUAUUUCCUUCGAAACCAUCCAUUUCAGUCAAUAGUUGGUUCAGGGUCUGUUCCCUUUCAUCAUUUCCUCCUCCAAUUCCAGUCCCUCUUUGCCGCCCAACAGCAUCAAUUUCAUCAACAAAUACAAUGCAAGGAGCAUUUUCCUUGGCCUUCUUGAAAAGAUCACGCACUCGAGAGGCUCCAACACCAACAAACAUCUCAACGAAUUCUGAACCUGAAAUUGAGAAAAAUGGAACACCCGCUUCACCAGCAAUUGCCUUUGCUAGCAAGGUUUUCCCAGUACCAGGAGGACCAACAAGAAGAACACCUUUUGGAAUACGAGCCCCUACUGCAGUAAAUCUCUCAGGUUUCUUCAAAAAUUCUACGACCUCCAUAAAAUCUUGUUUUGCUUCAUCUACACCAGCAACAUCAUCAAAUGU